Molecule: ribosomal RNA, 254 nt
Filed under: uncultured bacterium
Lineage: Bacteria
Description: partial 16S ribosomal RNA
Rfam family: Bacterial small subunit ribosomal RNA
Source: RNAcentral
UACAGAGGGGGCAAGCGUUAUUCGGAAUUAUUGGGCGUAAAGAGCUCGUAGGCGGUGUGUCACGUCGGCCGUGAAAACCUGCAGCUUAACUGUGGGCGUGCGGUCGAUACGGGCAUCACUGGAGUUCGGCAGGGGAGACUGGAAUUCCUGGUGUAGCGGUGAAAUGCGCAGAUAUCAGGAGGAACACCGGUGGCGAAGGCGGGUCUCUGGGCCGAUACUGACGCUGAGGAGCGAAAGCGUGGGGAGCAAACAGG